Molecule: non-coding RNA, 1497 nt
Organism: Paramisgurnus dabryanus
Lineage: Eukaryota; Metazoa; Chordata; Actinopteri; Cypriniformes; Cobitidae
Source: RefSeq, a predicted model, not a curated record
AUUAAAAGCUAACAAACAGAAUAAAAUUAUAUAAACUGCCAUGUACACAAGCUUUUGUCACAAUAGUGGCCCCUAGCGGAGUCAAGAGGUAGAAGGUAUAGCUAAGAGUGGUCCAGACUCCAGACCAAAUUUGCAAAUGUAUGAAUUACAGAAGGUAUACUAAACUAACGUUUCGGGAAACACGUGUUACCAAUAAGGUACAGCUUAAGCCUUAAGGCACAACCUAAGAUCGACGUAGAGCUAAGAAAGUUUUGGAAAAUGCUUCCCAGAACCAUAACAGAUGAAAUGUGUGUUCUGACCUGCGGUAUUGGUUUUGUGCCGCACAUGGAACCUCACAUCAAGAAUAAAUGACCAAACACUGUAUACAAUGUGCACAAAGUACACAGUGAUGGCACAAUGGAGAUCAUACCCAUAGGUACAAAGUCCACAAAACAGUUGAAUAGAUAUGCCUCUAUUUCAGUGGUUUAUAACUGUAAACAAUUUGACUCUCCUAUAUCUCUUUACAAUAUCCCGAUUGUACAGUAAGAUCGGAUAAUGUUUUCAUUUAGUAGCAUAAUGUAAUCUUAAUUUUAAGUUUAACACCUAAAUGGCAUAAAUUUAAUAAUACAGUAAAUAUGUCCACAUCUGUUAUUUACCAACAGAAGUUUUUUUAAGGACGAUUUAAGGGUUAUCCUGUACAGGUCGAGCACGGUCUGUACACAAAUUCAGACAUUGCUCUAGAUUUAAAACUUUAUAUAUUAUCUGACUAUGGUACCACCAACUUCACUGAGACCUACAAAUGUCUACCAGAUACCUCUAUGCACUACACACAGACUGAAGAUACCCACCUUAUUAUUUAAUUGCAUGCAACUCACAUUUGCAAUGAAGUCCCAAGUUUGUUUCUGUUUAAUUCUAUGAGUAAAAUAACAAUUAGAUUUUCCUUGAAAAAUAUGCUUCAUUGACAGCAUGGGCUCAGGCUAAUACAAGUUUGUACCAGAUGCUCCAUUUUAACCUAAAUUUAUUUGAUAAGCUGGUCACAUGUCUAGGUUGUUUCCCUGCCUCAACUUGAGAUAGCUGUGAUAUGCUAUCUUUUAUAGAUUUGAUAAUGUUCCAAAAUGAACAAUGAAAGAAAUUUGACCUUUGUGCUAAAGAAGUUGGCUUUUUUAGUCAAUGUCAAAUUUGUUUACAUGUGAUUCUGAAAUAGUGCAAAGUAUGUGUUCCUCAUUUUAUGUAUAGCAGUUCUUUAAUGUAACGUCAUUUACCUGCUAAAUAUACUACUCUAUAUGUAAACUAAAAACCUAUGCUUUGUCAUGCACAGUUUUAUUUUUAUAGACAUUGCUGGUGUAUGACCUACUUAAAAGACGCUAUAUAAAGAAACACACUGGGCUGUUUAUUGUGCCCUGUCCUCAGCAAGAUUAUGGUGAAAUACUGUACUGUUGGGUCUGUCAUAAACACUGUCAUUGCAAUAUUUUAUUAGUUCCUUAUUCAGAAGAAACAGAAAUAUAAUUUCAUACUACA